RNAcentral lists this ribosomal RNA (877 nucleotides) under uncultured bacterium. RNAcentral describes it as "bacterial SSU rRNA". It matches the Rfam family "Bacterial small subunit ribosomal RNA", at positions 96 to 953 of the family's 1533-position model. The record is from RNAcentral.
CGGCGGACGGGUGAGUAACGCGCGGGCAACCUGCCCUCGAGUGGGGGAUAACCCCGGGAAACCGGGGCUAAUACCGCAUGAUGUUCCGGGUCCUGCGGGACCCGCAACCAAAGCCGGCCUCUGACACAAGCUGGCGCUCGAGGAGGGGCUCGCGUCCCAUUAGCUAGUUGGUGAGGUAACGGCCCACCAAGGCGACGAUGGGUAGCCGGCCUGAGAGGGUGGUCGGCCACACUGGAACUGAGACACGGUCCAGACUCCUACGGGAGGCAGCAGUGGGGAAUAUUGCGCAAUGGGCGAAAGCCUGACGCAGCGACGCCGCGUGGAGGAUGAAGGCCUUCGGGUUGUAAACUCCUGUCAGGUGAGAAGAAGGGGGCGACGGUGAACACCCGGCGCUCUUGACUGUAUCACCGGAGGAAGCCCCGGCUAACUCCGUGCCAGCAGCCGCGGUAAAACGGAGGGGGCAAGCGUUGCUCGGAAUCACUGGGCGUAAAGGGCAAGCAGGCGGCCCUGCAAGUCCGAUGUGAAAGCCCUCGGCUCAACCGAGGAACUGCAUCGGAAACUGCAGGGCUCGAGUCCGGGAGAGGUGGGCGGAAUUCCCGGUGUAGCGGUGAAAUGCGUUGAUAUCGGGAGGAACGCCGGUGGCGAAGGCGGCCCACUGGACCGGUACUGACGCUCAGAGGCGAAAGCUAGGGGAGCAAACGGGAUUAGAUACCCCGGUAGUCCUAGCUGUAAACGAUGGGCACUUGGUGUAGUGGGUACCGACCCCCGCUGCGCCGAAGCUAACGCGUUAAGUGCCCCGCCUGGGGAGUACGGUCGCAAGGCUGAACUCAAGGAAUUGACGGGGGCCCGCACAGCGGUGGAGCAUGUGGUUCAUUCG